AUAUGUAGAUCAGUGGUAGAGCCUUUGCCUAACAUGCAUGAGUUCCUUGGUUCAAUUCCCAGUACUAUA
This 69-nucleotide transfer RNA is filed under the name Marmota monax (woodchuck). RNAcentral describes it as "tRNA.Val". The record is from RNAcentral. Lineage: Eukaryota; Metazoa; Chordata; Mammalia; Rodentia; Sciuridae.